GAAAGACAGUGGGGAAUGACUUGCGGGAAAGGAGCCACAUGUCGGAUUUGAACCCGGGCUGCCAGUUUGGAGGACUUGGAUCAUAGGGGAUGGAGCGCCCAAAGAAUUUGCUGUGGUGAAAAUGGGGACUGCUCAAAGUGCAGAGUGGAUGGGAGCUGUGUCGCACGCCUCCGAUAAAGCCGAGAACGUCUGUCAAAAGUGCGGCUCAUAAAUCCCUGACAACUUUUGGAGGGGGUGAAAAAAAGUCUGGAAAUUAAAGAACUCAUCAGUA
Labrus bergylta (ballan wrasse) is the source of this 271-nucleotide non-coding RNA. NCBI's taxonomy places the organism in Eukaryota, Metazoa, Chordata, Actinopteri, Labriformes, Labridae. The record is from RefSeq and is a predicted model, not a curated record.